AGUCAAACCGAUCCCCAAAUACAAUGGAGCAGAUGAUGUUGGAAACAGCAUGGAUUAAGAAUUUACCAGGGUUGAAAGGUUUCUCUGCAACAGCAACAACAGAAAGGUCUUGCAGCAGGACAGACUGUUUAUUAGAGACUGCCAGAAGAAUACCAUGAAAACCCAAAGAAACUUCAGAUACCUGUGAUCAAAAGUAGAGUUUUGACAGCAUGGCUACAGAAUAUUCUAAGGAAAUAACUAUGAUGGAAGCGUGAGGAAAAGUGAGAUUAGAUCCAUGACAGACAGGAAAGUUGAACCUGGAGACUGCAGUAAGGUAUAUCUCAAGUAUGGAAGAUAAGAAUCAUCAAGAUUGGAAGGUAUAAAAUCCUGAAGGGAAAAAAGAGAGAACAGUUAAUGGAAAUGUUAUGGAUCAGCCUCUUCCAUGCAGCUCUGGAGCCAGCCCUUCUGUGCCUUGCCCAUGACUCCUUGUUGGCUGUACAGUGAGGCACAUACAGUGCAGAAUCAGUGAGAUGAAAAGAGCAUGUUUUCUCAGAUUCUCAGCAGGGAUUUUUAUCUGUGAAUCCAGACUGAAUUUUGUUACAGUCUCAUUGCAGGUCUGCAAGGUUUCCCAGCAGAUGCACGUCAGUGUCCUACCAUGUGUGUUCCUGAUCCUCUCCACCAGAAAACGAGCUUCCUCCUGGAUUCGCUCCUCAAUGCCCUUCUUCCCCAUUCCAAAAUCACGCAGGGUGGUGAGGGCAAAUCUUCGCAGUUGUCUCCAGGUCUCCCCAUUGCUGG
This is a long non-coding RNA of Tympanuchus pallidicinctus (lesser prairie-chicken), 774 nucleotides long. RefSeq lists it as uncharacterized. The record is from RefSeq and is a predicted model, not a curated record. Lineage: Eukaryota; Metazoa; Chordata; Aves; Galliformes; Phasianidae. The transcript is spliced from 2 exons.